RNAcentral lists this non-coding RNA (24 nucleotides) under Arabidopsis thaliana (thale cress). Lineage: Eukaryota; Viridiplantae; Streptophyta; Magnoliopsida; Brassicales; Brassicaceae. The record is from RNAcentral.
UCGUCGGUGUGAGGUUUCUCCGGA